This 421-nucleotide ribosomal RNA is filed under the name Dendropsophus walfordi group sp. ABGD cluster 64. RNAcentral describes it as "partial large subunit ribosomal RNA". It matches the Rfam family "Archaeal large subunit ribosomal RNA", at positions 1927 to 2510 of the family's 2987-position model. Lineage: Eukaryota; Metazoa; Chordata; Amphibia; Anura; Hylidae. The record is from RNAcentral.
CUUGAUAUCUAUAAGAGGUCCAGCCUGCCCAGUGACGAAGUUCAACGGCCGCGGUAUCCUAACCGUGCGAAGGUAGCGUAAUCACUUGUUCUUUAAAUGAGGACUAGUAUGAAUGGCACCACGAGGGUUAUACUGUCUCCUUUUUCUAAUCAAUGAAACUAAUCUCCCCGUGAAGAAGCGGGGAUAAACUUAUAAGACGAGAAGACCCUAUGGAGCUUUAAACAACAAUAGCACUAGCCCUCAUCUUUAUACUUGAGAGAUACAACUAUUAUAUUGGCUAACAUGACUAUUAGUUUUAGGUUGGGGUGACCGCGGAGCAAAAACUAACCUCCACAUUGAACGGAGCUUUCCUGAGCUAAAAGCUACAACUUUAAGCACCAAUAAAUUGACAUCAAUUGACCCAACACGUUGAGCAACGAAC